UCAGCAAAUACUCGUGCCUGCAAAGCAUCCAUCAGAGCUGCCAUCUGGCUAAAAAUAAAAUAAUUCUGCUACUGGCAAAAAAUAAAGGGUUUCAGAGACCAAAGAACAGUCUCUUGCCAGCCCAGAUGAACUAAAAACCACUCACGGCUCUGCUGAUGGCUGAACGAGCAUCUUGCCACAUCUAAAGAGAGUCUGAAAAUCAGACAGACAGCACAGUGUCACCCAGAGGACAGCACAGAAAGGAGGAACCACUGCAGGAGUGUGCCUGGAGGUGCUGGCAGCAGGAAGAUGGACGUGCUGCAGGAUGUGGAGCUCCUGCAUCCCCACCAACAGAAGACCCAGUUUUUUCCGCCCAGCUCUCCAUCCCCACCCCUCCCAGAGGUCCCCCGUGGCACAGGGUGUGCUGUCCUCAGUUCUGAACAGAGAGCCCCGCUCAAACACUGAAUCAGGAGGGGAUCCACAGAAACACAAAGCACUUGGGUCUGCUCACACAGAAUUCCAGGCUAGUGGGGAAGAGAAAAAUCGGGGGAAUUAUCCGUUCAUAAUUGUAAUAUCCAUUACAAGACAAGGAUUCUAA
Vidua chalybeata is the source of this 577-nucleotide long non-coding RNA. RefSeq lists it as uncharacterized. The record is from RefSeq and is a predicted model, not a curated record. Lineage: Eukaryota; Metazoa; Chordata; Aves; Passeriformes; Viduidae. The transcript has 2 exons.